UAUGAAGGUCAGGCUGAAGACUUACCCGAUUAGCUGAGAGGUGGUGCAUGGCCGUCGUCAGUUCGUACUGUGAAGCAUCCUGUUAAGUCAGGCAACGAGCGAGACCCACGUCCACAGUUGCCAGCAUACCCCUCCGGGGUGAUGGGUACACUGUGGAGACCGCCGCUGCUAAAGCGGAGGAAGGAGUGGGCAACGGUAGGUCAGUAUGCCCCGAAUCUCCCGGGCUACACGCGGGCUACAAUGGUUGGUACAAUGGGCAUCUACCCCGAAAGGGGAAGGAAAUCUCUUAAAGCCAAUCGUAGUUCGGAUUGAGGGCUGCAACUCGCCCUCAUGAAGCUGGAAUCCGUAGUAAUCGCGUUUCAACAGAACGCGGUGAAUACGUCCCUGCUCCUU
Molecule: ribosomal RNA, 393 nt
Filed under: uncultured Methanosaeta sp.
Lineage: Archaea; Methanobacteriati; Methanobacteriota; Methanomicrobia; Methanotrichales; Methanotrichaceae
Description: bacterial SSU rRNA
Rfam family: Archaeal small subunit ribosomal RNA
Source: RNAcentral